UCGGCUUCGAGUAGUUAUAUAGACUCCUUCGAGGAUCCCCUCUGGCCCUUUUCCAGAGCUGCAACAAACACCAUCAACAAACCCACUGCCAACGCGGGCAGAAAAUGUGAGGAGCUGAAAUAUCUUCCCCCUGGCACUUGCGAAUACAAAUACAGUGGAAAUAUAAAAGAUAUGGAAAAAACCAUUCAACUUGAAGGGGGUGCUUUCCUGGCGCUGAUGGAUGGCCAAAGUACUCCCGUUCGCAAUCCUUUCAUGGGAUUCUCAUGUGUCUCCCAAGCUGC
This 281-nucleotide small RNA is filed under the name Histoplasma capsulatum var. duboisii H88. RNAcentral's name for it is "Histoplasma capsulatum H88 hypothetical RNA". Lineage: Eukaryota; Fungi; Ascomycota; Eurotiomycetes; Onygenales; Ajellomycetaceae. The record is from RNAcentral.